GGCGGCAGAGCCCCCGGCGUGCUGCCGGUCCUGAUCUGUCUCUGUGUGUCACCCUGGUGAGAACACUGUGGGAGGAGAGUCUGUAAAUAGUAUUACGAGCGAGGAAGAUGUGAAGAGCAACAGUACGGGGAAAUGCAGAGAAGAGAUGGGUUCGGGUUGGAUGGUUAGUAGCUGUGCCAAGGAAGUAACGCUCCAUUUGCAGAAAUGAUCCCAUUCUGUACAUGUCGGAAUUGUAUGUGUGUGAAAAUAACAGAUGGUAUAAUGGUUCUGACCGCAGAGGGUCUUUAAAUAUCUAUCAGUGUGGAUUCUAAAACGAUACUAACAGAUACUUCCGUCUUUGCGUGAAGGGCGUUGUAUUUGGAUUGUAUAAGUGAACGAUUUAGUUGCUAUGUUGCAAUUUUGGAAUAUAAUAAUAGUAAUAGCUGUACAUUGAAGUUGUCAUGUAAUUUUAUAUCAAUAUGAAUUGAAAGAAUAGGCUUGAAGUUUUCACAAGAUGAGUCAGAAGCAUUUUGUCCUCGUAUGUCCCACAUACAAAGGAUUGUAUAAAUCCGUAGUUUACUUUCAUUUUCAAAUAGUUUGAGCUCUUGUUGUCUCACCCAUGUGUUGCCAGUUGAUGAACAAAGAAUCUGCUAAUUAUGGGUUAAAAUGUCUCAGUCCAGUGAGGUAAACGUAAACAUACAGUGGGCAGCAAUGUGGUCACAAACCUGGCAAUUAGAACAGAAAGAAAAAAUAAGAGAAUCCAUCAUUUCUGUUUGGGGUUUUGGGGGGCGAUUCCCCGGCAGAAUGCGGUUUGAUGGUGUAAAUUGACACGCAGGAGACAAAAAAUAAAGUUUGACGUAAAUGCGACGUAGAGACAUGAAAAAUAAGCAAAGCAGAGCAUCACAACGGAGUUGGGCCUCUCAUCAUCAAACAGACUCCUGUAGCAAGGCAAGCAUGUCCGUGUUUAGAAAUAUAGAGUUUAUAAGACACACAAUGCUGCUGUGAUGUCUCUGCUGUGACACAUUUUUCCCAUCAUGGACAAACAAAGUUGAGCGAAACUUUAUCUGGUAAACAAAAACAGCAAGCGACUCAAUCUGUGUCUGAGUCAUAAAUACCUCGACUACAUAUCAUCUUAUAUGGUGAUGUUAUAAAGUGCUGUGGCGUACUUUGGCUCGCCACAUGUUGUACAAAUAUUUUGAAUCUUUGCUUAUCCAAAUUGAAUUUAUCUGACAAACCCUUCUAAUCUCAACAGAUGAAUCAAGCCGCAGACACGUGAGCAGGAUGUGAGCAGCAUCUCCCGAGCCGUUCCGAGUAAAAUCCUUCCAAACAUUCGAACCUAACUGGCUUCAGCAGCGAUACGACGCUGUUUCUUUCUCGCCAAAAUAAACCCAACCGGUUAGAUGCAGGUGACUUUGUGAAAUGUGUUUGGACAACACGACCGUGGUUGCUAACAAACAAAGGAGCAGCAGCGCACAUCUAACUGAUGUUUGAGGAGGCUCAUUGCUCAAGAAUGCUUUCCGUAAGCCGAAAGGCCGUGAUUUAAUGAAAUAGAGCAAAUCAAUGAUCCGCAAACAUGAAAACCCUGGAUUUUAUUUCCACUCAUCGAGUUGAUGAUAUAUGAUCCCUUUUGUAUAUAUUCAGGAGCAUUAGAUUCAAAGGAGCAGUUAAAAGAAACGUCACUGUAAACCAUCCACAGAGUCCUCUCACCAAGCAGCAACGGACAGAAGAAGGUUAUGAAAAUCCACCCUGCCGCUUUUGAUAGUGACUUACAGGCCGGUUGGACCAAAGCAUCCCUUUCCUUACUGUGUGUGUCCCAAACUGUAUGUGAAGCAAUUGGUGUAGCUGUGGAAACAAGUCAAUUUAAGUGAUCUGAUGUGCUGAAAAUCUGUUAAAAAUACAAAAGGUGUAGGUGUGAUAAAUUAAACGACAAGGAGACAAUACGCGGACACAUUGUUGCAAUGUUGUAUCAACUGUUUCAAGUGUGCUAAGUCAACUAAGACCAAACCCUGACUAAAGAAAGUGCACUAGUGGGCCCUCUUGUGUCUCAAAGUAGUAUCAUUUCUAAUGCGGCAGUACAUUAAAAACCCUUUGAAACCUAAUAUGACGUUAUGAUUGAUGCAGUGCAGACCAGGUUUCCAAAGACUCGCACUACUUUAUCCAGCCACAGAUUGCUCUCUGUCUCUCUCUCUGCCUCCUCCUCAGCGUCUCGCUCUUUCUGUGGCCCACAAAUCUGCAAAGAAUGGAGGGUUUCAGCAGAAUGUCCUCCUCAGCUCAGGCUGGGAUUGGACCAGGCUAAGGGCUGGAGGUAACCCGGAGGCUGCAGAGACGAGAAGGAGCCGGGCUUGCGCACUUCUGCAGAGCAGUCGACCCCCUCCGACCCCCUCCGACCCACCCUGCAGGCACACUGAUGCAGGAAACCGUUUUUAGGGUGUGAUACUUUUUAAGGACAGUUCCCCUGAAUCAGCAGAAGGUAACGUGAUGUCUGCGACUCCAAAACAUGCUGA
Long non-coding RNA from Gasterosteus aculeatus aculeatus (three-spined stickleback), 2483 nucleotides. RefSeq lists it as uncharacterized. Lineage: Eukaryota; Metazoa; Chordata; Actinopteri; Perciformes; Gasterosteidae. The record is from RefSeq and is a predicted model, not a curated record.